AAGUUCCUCGGUGAGGAAAGACGCGUUGGUUUUAAACCAACGGCACUUUGGUUUAAAACCAACAGGUGCUUU
Molecule: transfer RNA, 72 nt
Filed under: Bacteroides thetaiotaomicron
Lineage: Bacteria; Pseudomonadati; Bacteroidota; Bacteroidia; Bacteroidales; Bacteroidaceae
Description: tRNA-Stop
Source: RNAcentral